Molecule: ribosomal RNA, 232 nt
Filed under: uncultured bacterium
Lineage: Bacteria
Description: partial 16S ribosomal RNA
Rfam family: Bacterial small subunit ribosomal RNA
Source: RNAcentral
UACGGGGGAGCAAGCGUUGUUCGGAUUUACUGGGCGUAAAGGGCGCGUAGGCGGUCGUGACAAGUCACUUGUGAAAUCUCCGGGCUUAACUCGGAACGGUCAAGUGAUACUGUCGGACUAGAGUACAGAAGGGGCAACUGGAAUUCUCGGUGUAGCGGUGAAAUGCGUAGAUAUCGGGAGGACACCAGUGGCGAAGGCGACUACCUGGCCUGUUCUUGACGCUGAGGCGGCG